This 498-nucleotide ribosomal RNA is filed under the name uncultured Alphaproteobacteria bacterium. Its description in RNAcentral is "bacterial SSU rRNA". It matches the Rfam family "Bacterial small subunit ribosomal RNA", at positions 42 to 584 of the family's 1533-position model. The record is from RNAcentral. Lineage: Bacteria; Pseudomonadati; Pseudomonadota; Alphaproteobacteria.
GCAGGCUUAACACAUGCAAGUCGAACGCUCCUAGCAAUAGGGGAGUGGCAGACGGGUGAGUAACGCGUGGGAAUCUACCCAGCCCUUCGGAAUAGCUCCGGGAAACUGGAAUUAAUACCGAGUACGCCCUACGGGGGAAAGAUUUAUCGGGGUUGGAUGAGCCCGCGUUGGAUUAGCUAGUUGGUGAGGUAAUGGCCCACCAAGGCGACGAUCCAUAGCUGGUCUGAGAGGAUGAUCAGCCACACUGGGACUGAGACACGGCCCAGACUCCUACGGGAGGCAGCAGUGGGGAAUAUUGGACAAUGGGCGCAAGCCUGAUCCAGCCAUGCCGCGUGAGUGAUGAAGGCCUUAGGGUUGUAAAGCUCUUUCAGUGGGGAAGAUAAUGACGGUACCCACAGAAGAAGCCCCGGCUAACUUCGUGCCAGCAGCCGCGGUAAUACNAAAGGGGCUAGCGUUGUUCGGAUUUACUGGGCGUAAAGCGCACGUAGGCGGAUCGUU